Non-coding RNA from Bactrocera oleae (olive fruit fly), 2574 nucleotides. The record is from RefSeq and is a predicted model, not a curated record. NCBI's taxonomy places the organism in Eukaryota, Metazoa, Arthropoda, Insecta, Diptera, Tephritidae.
UGACAACAUUCGUCAAGCUUAUUUAGUAGAGUUUUGAUCGUUCAGUCGACCUCAACCCGCAUUGCAGUUCGUAAAUUUGUUUACGUUGCAUAUGGAUAACGAAAUUUCAUAUACACAUUGAAUAAAAAAGUUUUAGUUAAUUGACAAUUUAGUUUAAAGAAGUUAAUAAAAGUAUAGAUUUCCAUAUUUUGACAGUUAGCACGACGAUAAUCAUGAGAAUAGUUUUUAACAAGAAAGUACUGAUAUGGGCAGUGAUAGUAGCAUUGAUUGUAGUUGGUGGGAUCCUUGGAUUGGCAUUUGGUUUAAAAAAUGAAAGACAUAUUGUUGCCGCGGUAGUUUCCAAUGGAAGAGGUUGUGCCGAUAUAGGCAGUCAAAUGUUGAAUGAUGGUGGAUCAGCUGUGGAUGCGGCAAUUGCAACCCUAAUUUGUGAGGGUAUCAUUCUACCACACAGUAUGGGGAUUGGCGGGGGUUUCUUUGCUACAAUAUAUACCAAGUCCACUCGUAAAAUAGAGACUUUGGUUGCACGAGAGAUGGCUCCUUCUCGAUCUCGAAAAGACAUGUUUGUUGGGGAACAAAAUGUUAACGGUGCUCGUGCUGGUGCUGUACCUGGAGAGGUACUUGGAUAUUGGGAAAUGCACAGAAAAUAUGGUCGCCUUCCAUGGAAAGUGCUAUUUCAACCAACGAUAAAAUUAUGUAAAGAAGGUCAUUGGGUUUCUAGGUACCUUGCUGCAGCCAUACAAUCUAGGCUGACCGAAAUUCGCAACGAACCUUCAAUGUCAGAAAUUUUUCUAAAGGAGGAUGGUACACCAUUUGUGGAAGGAGAUUAUAUGAAGCGGAUUCAAUUGGGUAUUACACUAGAAAAAAUUGCUGAAAAUGGUGCCGGGGAGCUUUACGGAGGCGGAGAAGUCGGUAAAUUGUUCAUAGAAGAUAUUGAAGAACUUGGUGGAAUUAUUACCGAAGAUGAUUUGAAAAACUACAAAGUACGUUGGGAGGACACUAACCACAUUAUAGCAAACGUAACAGGGGGAUAUACUCUUUAUACCACACCUCUUCCAUCUAGUGGCGCCGUACUUGCAUUUAUGCUAAAUGUUUUGACCGAUUCUUAUACUGAUAAUGAAGAAAUUUACUGGCAACGCGUGGUUGAAACAUUUAAGCAUGCCUAUGGCCAACGCACAAAUUUGGGUGAUAUGGAAAAUGAACCCGACCUAAAGCAGACAAUUGAAGAAACAUUUUCUAAUUUAAUUAGCCAAGAGUUUGCAGAUCAUGUACGAACAUUAAUUUUUGAUAAUAAGACAUUUAAUAAUUACGAAUAUUAUGGUGCAAACUUCACCUAUGUAGAAGAUCACGGAACCGCUAAUAUGGCGGUAUUAGCUGCGAAUGGCGAUGCUGUAACUGUUACCAGUACAAUAAACAAUUAUUUUGGUGCUAAAGUUCGAUCACGUCGCACUGGUAUUAUUCUUAACGAUGAAAUGGACGACUUUUCCACGCCUGGCAUAGUGAAUGGUUUUGGAAUACCUGCCUCCCCUGCCAAUUAUAUACAUCCCGGAAAAAGACCCAUGUCUUCCAUGUGCCCGGCAAUUAUACUUGAUCAAGAUGGCAAUGUACGAAUGAUGGUUGGAGCGGCUGGCGGAAGCAAGAUAACCACUUCAGUUGCGACGGUAUUCAUAAUUUAUUUUAUGCAUAUAUGUAUACAUACAUCUUGAUAUACAUACAUAUGUACGGGAAUUUUCGUUUUUUGAAAAAAAUAUUUAUUCAAUCGUCUACAUAAAUGUUGUCACCUUCAAAAUAGUCCUCAUUCGAUGUUAUGCAUUUAUGUCAGCGCUUUUUCCAAUCGUCGAUACACUUCUCAAACUCGAAUUUUGGGAUAGCCUUUAGCUCUUUCAGCGAUGCGCUUAAUGAAAUCUAUCCUUAGAAAAAGUAACACUUAGCCAAAUCUGACGAAUAUGGAGGCUGGGGCAUCGUAACACUAUUGUUUGUGGCCAAUAACUUAGAAACAAGCAACGAAGUGUGAGCUUUUAACACACGUUAAUCGCCAAGCUCAUAAAAACACGUCUAACCUUAGUGGCUGCUACAAACAAAGCAAUCAUCAAAUAUCUUAUUUUAAAUCAGUCAUUAAACGAAGCUAUAAAUGGAGGAAGACUACAUCAUCAGUUAGCCCCAAUGCAAUUAGAUAUUGAGCCUGAAGUAUCGCCAUCAGUGUAUGCAUAUCUCAGUAAAGUGGGUCACAUUAUAAAUGAUUCAUCAGAAGGUUCGGGAUUUGCUGCUGUGACUGCAAUCGGUGUACGUGACGGCAUUCCAGAACCAUUUUUUGAUCGACGACGAGUUGGAAGCACUUCCACGGUAUCCCUUGAAAACAAAAUGGUACAUUAAAAAUAAUUGGCAAUGCGCGGAGUUAUUACUUAAAAGCAACUAAUACAAACUGGUUAAAGUCUGUUAUAUAAGUUUGUUCAUGCAAUAAUUGUGAUAUUAAUAUACUAACGUUAGAUAUUGAUUGGAGAAGUAUUACCUACUUUAGUUUCAACUAUUUAAUUAAAAAAUAAAUAAAUUUAAACUUGGAAAUUUUUUUUGGUAAAA